Long non-coding RNA from Haliotis rubra (blacklip abalone), 148 nucleotides. RefSeq lists it as uncharacterized. The record is from RefSeq and is a predicted model, not a curated record. The transcript has 3 exons. Lineage: Eukaryota; Metazoa; Mollusca; Gastropoda; Lepetellida; Haliotidae.
ACAAUAAUCAGAGUCACUGUUCCAAGUCAGUUUCUCAUUCUGUUUUCCAGCUAAAGUCUGUGUUCUUUGAACACAAAAUAUAAACAUGCACCGGGUGCAAGUUGAUAUACAUAAGAGGUUGCAUUUAGCAGCAUCCUGCCAAAGACCC